Molecule: ribosomal RNA, 565 nt
Filed under: uncultured bacterium
Lineage: Bacteria
Description: partial 16S ribosomal RNA
Rfam family: Bacterial small subunit ribosomal RNA
Source: RNAcentral
UGGGGAAUUUUGGACAAUGGGCGAAAGCCUGAUCCAGCAAUGCCGCGUGUGUGAAGAAGGCCUUCGGGUUGUAAAGCACUUUUGUCCGGAAAGAAAUCCUUGGCUCUAAUACAGUCGGGGGAUGACGGUACCGGAAGAAUAAGCACCGGCUAACUACGUGCCAGCAGCCGCGGUAAUACGUAGGGUGCAAGCGUUAAUCGGAAUUACUGGGCGUAAAGCGUGCGCAGGCGGUUUGCUAAGACCGAUGUGAAAUCCCCGGGCUCAACCUGGGAACUGCAUUGGUGACUGGCAGGCUAGAGUAUGGCAGAGGGGGGUAGAAUUCCACGUGUAGCAGUGAAAUGCGUAGAGAUGUGGAGGAAUACCGAUGGCGAAGGCAGCCCCCUGGGCAAUACUGACGCUCAUGCACGAAAGCGUGGGGAGCAAACAGGAUUAGAUACCCUGGUAGUCCACGCCCUAAACGAUGUCAACUAGUUGUUGGGGAUUCAUUUCCUUAGUAACGUAGCUAACGCGUGAAGUUGACCGCCUGGGGAGUACGGUCGCAAGAUUAAAACUUAAAUGAAUUGAC